Molecule: ribosomal RNA, 128 nt
Filed under: Bacillus cereus
Lineage: Bacteria; Bacillati; Bacillota; Bacilli; Caryophanales; Bacillaceae
Also listed under: 2 other names
Description: partial 16S ribosomal RNA
Rfam family: Bacterial small subunit ribosomal RNA
Source: RNAcentral
CUUUAUUGGAGAGUUUGAUCCUGGCUCAGGAUGAACGCUGGCGGCGUGCCUAAUACAUGCAAGUCGAGCGAAUGGAUUAAGAGCUUGCUCUUAUGAAGUUAGCGGCGGACGGGUGAGUAACACGUGGG